Molecule: ribosomal RNA, 468 nt
Filed under: uncultured bacterium
Lineage: Bacteria
Description: partial 16S ribosomal RNA
Rfam family: Bacterial small subunit ribosomal RNA
Source: RNAcentral
GACGAACGCUGGCGGCGUGCUUAACACAUGCAAGUCGAACGGAAAGGCCCUGCUUUUGUGGGGUGCUCGAGUGGCGAACGGGUGAGUAACACGUGAGUAACCUGCCCUUGACUUUGGUAUAACUUCAGGAAACUGGGGCUAAUACCGGAUAGGAGCUCCUGCUGCAUGGUGGGGGUUGGAAAGUUUCGGCGGUUGGGGAUGGACUCGCGGCUUAUCAGCUUGUUGGUGGGGUAGUGGCUUACCAAGGCUUUGACGGGUAGCCGGCCUGAGAGGGUGACCGGCCACAUUGGGACUGAGAUACGGCCCAGACUCCUACGGGAGGAAGCAGUGGGGAAUAUUGCACAAUGGGCGGAAGCCUGAUGCAGCAACGCCGCGUGCGGGAUGACGGCCUUCGGGUUGUAAACCGCUUUCGCCUGUGACGAAGCGUGAGUGACGGUAAUGGGUAAAGAAGCACCGGCUAACUACGUG